Phrynosoma platyrhinos (Desert horned lizard) is the source of this 72-nucleotide non-coding RNA. The record is from the annotation of a GenBank genome assembly. NCBI's taxonomy places the organism in Eukaryota, Metazoa, Chordata, Lepidosauria, Squamata, Phrynosomatidae.
GCCAGUAUAGUGUAAUGGUUUGAACAUUAGACUAUGACUCAAGAGACCAGGGUUUGAAUCCCUGCUCAGCCA